RNAcentral lists this long non-coding RNA (2480 nucleotides) under Homo sapiens (human). RNAcentral describes it as "non-protein coding lnc-CLEC3A-2:1". Lineage: Eukaryota; Metazoa; Chordata; Mammalia; Primates; Hominidae. The record is from RNAcentral.
GCCUGGGAGGCAGAGGUUGCAGUGAGCCAAGAUGGCACUGCUGCACUCUAGCCUGGGUGACAGUGAGACUGUCUUUAAAAAAAAAAAAAAAAAAAAAAAAAACCAAAAAAACAAAAACAAGAACAUUCCCAUCACGUCGGUAAGUAUCUCAUUCUCCUUUCCAAUAAAUCCUUUUAUUCCCAGAAACAAGCAUUCUUGUUUCAAUCAUUGUAACUUUGUUUUACCUGUUCUAGAACUUCAUUUAAUAGAAAUCAUACCUACUGCUUUGUAUGUGUCGUCUUCUGCUUAAUGAUUCACAUAAUGUUUUUGUGAUUCAUCCAUGUUGAUGGGUGUAUUAGGGGUUCUCUUUUUCAAUGCUGGAUAGUAUCCUGUGGUGAAAAUACACCACAAUUCGCUUAUCUGUGCACCUGUUGAUGAGCAUUGGGUUGUUUAUAUUUGUUGGCUAUUAUGAAUAAAGCUACCACGAAUAUUCAUAAAUCCUGUAUACAUGUUUUUAUGCCCUUAUGUUUUUAUGUAUUUUUGAUAAAUACCUAGGUGUGAAAUUAUUGACUCUUAGUGUUUAACUUGUAAGAAUGCUGCCAAACAGUUGUCUAAAGUAAUUGUAUCAUUUUAACCCCCCGCUAGAAGUGUGUAAGAGUUUAUGUUGCUUCACAUCCUCAUCAGCACUUUGUAAUUUCAGUCUUUUUAAUUAUAGCCUUUUUGUGGGUGAGAAACGCUAUCUCUUGCUAGUUUUAUUUUGCAUUUUCCUAGUGACUAAUGCCUCUUUUUAUGAACUCAUUGGCCGUUCAUAUAUUUUCUUUCUGUGAACUGCUUGUUUAUGUAUUGGCCAUUUUCUAAAAAUUAGAUAGUCUUUUUAAUAUUGAAUUAUAGGAAUUCUAUAUAUAUUUUGGAUACAUUCUUUUUUUUUCAUAUGUACUGUGAAUUUUCUCCUUUGUCUUGUCUAUUUAUUCCUUAAUGGUGUCUUUUGAAAAGCAGAAGUUAUAAAUACUGAUAGUGUCCAAUUUAUCUUUUUCAUUUGUGUAGUGCUUUCUUGUUCUAAGAACCUUUACCAAUCACCAGGUCACAAAAAUAUUUUCCUAUGUUUUCUUCUAGACACUCCAUAACUUCAAUCUUUACAUUCAGAUCUAUGUUCCAUCUCAAAUUAAUUUUUGUAUAUGGUGUGAGGUAAUGGUAGAGGUUUAUUUUUCUCUCCAUAAGACUCUCCAAUUGUUCUAGCACUAUUUGUUCAAAGACUAAUCCUCGCGCUAUUCAAUUUCCUUGGCAUCUUUGUCAAAAAUCAGUUGACUAUAUAUGUGUGGGUGUAUUUCUAGACUGUUGUACUCCAUUGAUCUAAUUUUUUUUCUUAUACUUACUGCUCGAUUGCCUGGAAGCUAGGUAAUAAUAAGGAUUCAAACUUUGUUCUUUAUUUCAAGAUUGUUUGGGUUAGUUUAGAUACUUUCCUUUUACAUAUAUAUUUCCUGAUCAGCUUCUCCAUUUCUUUUAAAAAGCCUUGCUGGGAGUUUAUUUGCUUUGGUAUUGAAUCUCUUGAUCAAUUUGAGGAGGAUCAAAAUCCUGAAAGUGUUAAGCGUUACCAUCCAUGAGCAUGCAUCUCUCCAUUUAUUUAAGGCUUCUUUAUUUAUAAACAUUUCAGUGAUAUUUGAUGAUUUUGAAUGUGGAGGUCUUAUACUUUUUUGUUAAAUUAACUCUUACACAUUUGAUUUUUUUAUGCUAUUGUAAAUGGCAUUAUAAAAUUUCUUUUUUCCAACUGUUUGUUUCUAAUAUAUAGAAAUACAGUUGAUUCUAGCAAACUGCUCUCAUAUCCUGUGAUCUUAAAAUUUAUUUAUUCACCUUUUCCUUUUUGUUAAAUAGAUUCUGUAGAAUUCUCUACAUCUCUGAAUAUAGUUUUACUUCUUCUCCAAUUUUUAUGGCUUUUGUUUCUUUUUCUUGUUUUAAUGCACUGGCUAUAGCCUGUAGGACAGUGUUGAACAGAGGUUUUGAGACAGACAUCAUUGCUUUAUUCAGGACUUCUCUAUUAUAUGUGAUGCUAGUUGUAUGUUUUCUGUACCUAUACUUCAUUAGAUUAAGGAGUUUGAAUUUAUUUCUAGUUUGCUGAGAGUUCUUUUAUAAAUGUGUUCAUAUAUAUAUGUUUUAUAUUUUUCUUAUUCUUACUAUCUGCAUAUUAGAGGGAGUUUAGCUCAUUGGUUAAAAGGAUUUGUUCCGGAAACCUAACUCCAAAUCUUUGAACUUCCUAGAAACCUGGCCUGUUUAUUUACCCCGUAUGUCACUUUCCUUUAUCUGUAACUGGAAAAUGUGUACGAAGAGCUUAAUACAAUGACUGAUACACAGUGAGUUCUCCAUAAAUGUUAGUUAUUAUUUUAAUAUUACAGCAUCUGUGGAAACAGUGGGUUUAUAUUUCAGCGUCCUGAGAAACACUCAUCCUGAACAACGGGAACAUUGGCCACAUCCGCCAUUGUCAAUUUUAAAUAAAAGAUAUGAUGACU